RNAcentral lists this ribosomal RNA (253 nucleotides) under uncultured Acidobacteriota bacterium. RNAcentral describes it as "uncultured Acidobacteria bacterium partial 16S ribosomal RNA". It matches the Rfam family "Bacterial small subunit ribosomal RNA", at positions 524 to 776 of the family's 1533-position model. Lineage: Bacteria; Pseudomonadati; Acidobacteriota. The record is from RNAcentral.
UACGGAGGGGGCGAGCGUUAUUCGGAAUUAUUGGGCGUAAAGGGCGCGUAGGCGGCUUUCUAAGUCAAAGGUGAAAUCCCUCGGCUCAACUGAGGAACUGCCUUUGAAACUGGACGGCUUGAGGCCGGGAGAGGGUAGCGGAAUUCCCAGUGUAGCGGUGAAAUGCGUAGAUACUGGGAGGAACACCGGUGGCGAAGGCGGCUACCUGGACCGGUUCUGACGCUGAUGCGCGAAAGCGUGGGUAGCAAACAGG